RNAcentral lists this long non-coding RNA (26405 nucleotides) under Triticum aestivum (bread wheat). RNAcentral's name for it is "long non-coding RNA (TAES_LNC003294)". The record is from RNAcentral. Lineage: Eukaryota; Viridiplantae; Streptophyta; Magnoliopsida; Poales; Poaceae.
UCUCCAGAUUUAUUCUAUAUUGUUUAUUCAAUUUUUAGCUCUACUACACUAUCCUCGCACUACUAUGAUUCUUUUUUAAUUAAGCUCAUAACUAGGAAUUAACCAGUGAAUUCCUACUAUUACCGACUUGAUCAAAAAGCGACAAGUUAAUUGCUUCUGAUAGUUAGGUGCUGCCACAAACUAAAUCUAAAUGUUGCUUCUACUGUGUGUGCGCGUGCACUCAUUUCUGGACCCUACAAUAGUCAAGUGAACAUUGACAUUGAUCACUCAAAACAUACUUAGAAAGGGGAUCAGGAAAGGGAAAAUAAAAGGAUAUCAGGAAUUUAUUUGUACAAGAUUUGCACAAAGUAUGUUUAUUUAUUUUUCUGUUUUCAGAAUGAGGCAUGUGCAAAUGAGACAUGGCAAACAUUAGCCAAACAGUGUUCAAUACAACUAGGAAGGGAUCAUUAAGAUGAGUAGCAUACACAGGAAGCUUGAGCUAUUAGCUGUACAUGUAAAUCUUAGCAAGUUAAUAUUUGGGAUUUAAUUCUCAGCAUGACAUGUCUAUUAUAUACAUAGAUCUAGUACAAGACAGAGAUGGACAUGCAUAGUACACAUGCAUCACUAAACCACCAUGUACCAAUUUGUCUUCAUCUAAUUUAUGUGCUUUCUUUUUCUAACCAUCAUUCUUCUUUUUACAAAGUAACUAGAGUCCAAAAGAUCAGGUGUUCAUGUUCUAAGCAAAGGUGAAGAUGGAUCAAGCAAACAAAGCUGCAAAAGCAAGGCACUUGAAUAGUACCUGAUGGCAACUCAGCAUCCGACCAAAAGAGUGGAUGGGGAUGGUGGGGAGAGCUUGGUUCUCUCUUGUGCGUGUUGUGUGCAGUAGAGGAAGUCAAAGGUGAAAGGAGGAGGCUGCUAUUUAUAGUAGUGUAGGGUGCUAGGUCGGUUUGGUAAAAGAGAGAUGUGGCUGACAUGCAUGGUUGCAUGAGCAUGCAAGCCUCCACAUGUAAUCAUGUGAGUUGUACAACGGACAAGUGUAUAGUGCAUGGUUCGACACGAGAUGGCAUAUAAUUUGUGUGUAAGGAAUGAGACAAGGGCCUAAUUAUAAAUCUGCAAACAAUAAAGGAGUUGGAGAAGAACCAUUGUACAUGGCUAAAUACUAACUUUUUUGGUUGCAAUAAAUUUUUGAUAUUAGUGUUGUGGUCAAUUAUAAUUAUUCAACUAACUAUGCCUUGUGACACUGGUGUAACAUAGCGCCGUCAAAAAUAUUGUUAUCUAAUUUUGAGGGGUUUUACAUCCCUUCCCCCUUCGAAAAAUUUCGUCCUGAAAAUUUGAGUUGUGACUCGUAUAGGCUGGCCCAAGUCUAACCCUCUCAGUCUAAUCAUGUAUAGGCUAGCAUUAAAGAUUAUACACUCAAUGCAUAUGGGAUUGUUGUGAAAGACAUGCUCAACAAUUAUUGGGCCUCCGAGUGAGUCUACUUCUAUGAGUUUGGCUAGGGAGGUUCGGUCCAAACUACAUGUCUCAGCAAAGUGUCGGGAUAUGAAAGGAUAUGUUGCCCUUGAUGUAAUAAAAUAAAUAAUAAUAAUACUAAGACUACUGCAAGAGGGAUUUGUAGGUUACCGAUGACCCACAAGUGUAGGAAAUCUAUCGUAGUCCUUUCGAUAAGUAAGAGUGUCGAAUCCAAUGAGGAGCAGAAGGAAAUGAUAAGCGGUUUUCAGUAAGGUUUUCUUUGCAAGCACUGAAACUAUAGGUGAUAGAUAGUUUUGUGAUAAGAUAAAUAGUAACGAGUAACAAGUAAAUAAACUAAAUAAAGUGCAGCAAGGUGGCCCAAUCCUUUAUGUAGCAAAGGAUAAGCCUGGACAAUUUCUAAUAGUGAUAAAGGAGCUCCCGAGGAAACAUUGGGAAUUAUCGUCAAGCUAGUUUUCAUCACGUUCAUAUGAUUCGCGUUCGGUACUUUGAUAACUUGAUAUGUGGGUGGACCGGUACUUGGUUACUGCCCUAACUUGGACAAGCAUCCCACUUAUGAUUAACCCCUAUUGCAAUCAUCCGCAACUACAGAAGAAGUAUUAAGGUAAACCUAACCACAACAUUAAACAUAUGGAUCCAUAUAAACCCCUAACGAAGCAACGCAUAAACUAGGGUUUAAGCUUCUGUCACUCUAGCAACCCAUCAUCUACUUAUUACUUCCCCAUGCCUUCCUCUAGGCCCAAAUAAUGGUGAAGUGUCAUAUAGUCGACGUUCACAUAACACCACUAGAGGAAAAGACAACAUACAUCUCAUCAAAAUAUCGAAUGAAUACCAAAUUCACGUGACUACUAAUAGCAAGACUUCACCCAUGUCCUCAAAAACAAACGUAACUACUCACAAAGCAUAUUCAUGUUCAUAAUCAGAGGAGUAAUAAUAUGCAUAAAGGAUUUGAACAUAUGAUCUUCCACCAAGUAAACCAAUUAGCAUCAACUACAAGGAGUAAUCAACACUACUAGCAACCCACAGGUACCAAUUUGUGGUUUUGAUACAAGAUUGGAUACAAGAGAUGAACUAGGGUUUUGGGAGGAGAUGGUGUUGGUGAAGAUGUUGAUGGAGAUUGACCCCCUCCCGAUGAGAGGAUCAUUGGUGAUGACGUUGGUGAUGAUUUCCCCCUCCCGGAGGGAAGUGUCCCCGGCAGAAUAGCUCUGCCAGAGCCCUAGAUUGAUUCCGCCAAGAUUCCACCUCGUGGCGGCGGAGUUUCGUCCCGUAAGCUUGCCCACGAUUUUUUCCAGGGUAAAAGUGAUGAUAUGGCAGAAGAUGGACGUCGGAGGCCCACCAGGGGGCCCAGGAGAUAGGGGGGCGCGCCCCCUGUCUCCUGGACAGGGUGUGGGCCCCCUGGCAUAUUUCAGGACUUUUGGAGCUGUGCAGAAUAGGUUUUCAACGUUUGCUUCUUUUCUAGCCAAAAUUUCAGCUGCCGGCAUUCCCCCUCUUCAUGGUAAACCUUGUAAAAUAAGAGAGAAUAGCCAUAAGUAUUGAUAUAUAAUGUGUAAUAACAGCCCAUGAUGCAAUAAAUAUUGAUAUAAAAGCAUGAUGCAAAAUGGACGUAUCAACUCCCCCAAGCUUAGACCUCGCUUGUCCUCAAGCGGAAGCCGAAAUCGAAAAAUAUGUCCACAUGUUUAGAGAUAGAGGUGUCGAUAAAAAUAAAAUAUGGACAUGAGGGCAUCAUGAUCAUUCUAAUAACAACUACAUACAUAAAUUUUGUCAUAUCAUUCUCUAUGCUCAAGCUACAAGCAAUUCAUAAUGUCAAGUAUGGUUCAAAAACUUCAUUGGGAACUAACAAACUAUGAUCUCAGUCAUUGAAGCAAUUGCAAUUUAUCGUAACAUCAGAAAGAGUCAAUAAUGGAGCUUUUCAGCAAGCUCACAUACUCAACUAUCUCUUAGUCUUCUACAAUUGCUAACACUCACACAGUACUUGUGGUUAUAGAGUUUCAGCCGGACACUGAGAAAGAUAGGGGCUUAUUGUGUUGCCUCCCAACGUAUUCACCUUUAGGUGAUGUCAACAAUAAUAGCCCAUGCUAACUUACAUCCAAUUGGAUAUAUAUAUCAUGAUCUUUCAAACACGAGGAGCUUACCAAAGGAUAAAAUGAAAAAGGGACAGGUGAGGAUCACCUUGACUCAAGCAUAAAGUAAAAACAUAAAGUAAAAGAUAGGCCCUUCGCAGAGGGAAGCAGAGGUUGUCAUGUGCGUUUAGGGUUGAUGCACAAAAUCUUAAUGCAAAAGAACGUCACUUUAUAUUGCCCCUUGUAUGUGGACCUUUAUUAUGCAGUCCGUCGCUUUUAUUACUUCCACAAUAAGUUCGUACAAAGCUUAUUUUCUCUGCACUAAUAAGUCAUACAUAUUUAGGUAGCAAUUUUCUCGCUUGCAACAUGACAACUUACUUGAAGGAUCUUACUCAAUCCAUAGGUAGGUAUGGUGGACUCUCAUGGCAAAACUGGGUUUAAGGGUAUUUGGAAGCACAAGUAGUAUCUCUACUUGGUGCAAGGAAUUUGGCUAGCAUGAGGGGGAAAGGCAAGCUCAAUAUGUUCGGAAGGUCAAUGACAAUAUACUUUAACUGAGAUGUCGGAAAACAUAGACCAUUACGUUGUCUUCCUUGUCCAACAUCAACUAUUUUAGCAUGUCAUACUUAAUGAGUGCUUCACAAUCAUAAAAGAUGUCCAAGAUAAUAUAUUUAUAUGUGAACCCCUCUUUCCUUAUCACUUCCUAUUAAUUGCGACGAUGACCAAGGCUACGUUCAUCAACUCUCAACAAUUUUUAUGCCUCAUACGUUCUAUGUGUGAAGUUAUCACUAUCCAUAAGAUCAAUAUGAACUUCAUUAUUCUUUCUACUUUCUCAAGAUCAUAGCAACAUAGCAAGGCCCUUGACUCGACACUAAUCUUUAUUAUAGAUAACUCGCGGACUCGAUUACAAAAAGAGAUCACAAAGCAAAACUCGAAACUACUUGAUACCUAAAUUUCAAUCUACUAGAUCAAGAUACUACUAAAAGGAUCGAACUAAAUAAAACGGUAAAGAUAGGAGUGUGAUGAUGAUACGAUACCGGGGCACCUCCCCCAAGCUUGGCAGUUGCCAAGGGGAGUGCCCAUAUCCAUGUGAUUAUGUCCUCGGAGGUGGUGAAGUAGGAGUUGUUUAUGAUGUAGGCUUGUCGUCCGUCUUCCAAGGCAUCUGCUCUCCAUCAUAAAAGGGUGAACGAGUCUCCGGGAUCCUUAAAUCUGCAGCCAAACUCAUUCGCUUGAAUCUAUAUUCAUACUCACAGUUCUGGUUUUGUAGGUCAUAGAUCUGGGCUUGGAGGUGCUCGAUUUUCUCUUGAAGCUUGAAGAUGGUCUCCCAAAUGACUUUAGCAUCUAGCUUGUGGUUGUUUGUGAACUCCGUGAUCAUCAUCUAGUUGGCGUUGAGUCCACGCUCCACCAUCCCUUGGCACUUGAAAACUUCCUGUUCCACGGCUUCGAGCUUUGUCUCCACGCUCCCGGUACGCCUUGGUCCCUCCACAUCGCGGAUGUGCAGCACCCCCUCACGCAUCUCAAUGGUUUGAGGAUGAUGCAGCACCUCCGCGAGAUAGGGGUUGAUAACCCUCUCGAAAAACUUGUCCUUGGGAGCGCUUGGAGACGCCAUGAUGCUCUAGAUCUGAAACAGUAACAACUCGAAACGAAAACAGUGGAUAUUUGCGUGAUACGGUGGUCAAAACCUUCGGGAGUAUAUAUAAUGAAUUUUUAUCGACCAAAAUACAUAACGUGCAAGAAAACGGAGUCCGGGAGGCACACGAGGUGCCCACGAGACAGGGGGCGCGCCCUACAAGGGGGGGUGCCCUCCACUCUCGUGGGGGCCUCGUGUCCCUUUCUGACUACUUCUUUCUUCCUAAAAUUCUUAAAUAAUUCAAAACUGAUAAAAAUUGCCAUUAGAGUUGUUUUGGAGUCGGUUUACUUACCGUACCACAUACCGAUACCUUUUCGGAGUCUGGAACGUUCUGGAAAGUGUCCCUUAUGUAUUCCUCGAGGGUUACUGUUUCAAUAAUAUUAGUUUCAACAUUGAUAGGAUUACCUGAAAUAUAAUGUUUAUUUCUUUGACCGUUUACCACCCUCGGAUUUGUGCCUUCGAAGUUGUUGAUUUUUAUAGCACCAGAACGAUAGACCUCCUCGAUAACGUAGGGACCUUCCCAUUUUGAGAGAAGUUUUCCUGCAAAAAAAAUUAAACGAGAGUUGAAUAAUAACACAUAAUCUCCUACAUUAAACUCACGCUUUUGUAUCCUCUUAUCAUGCCAGUGUUUGACUUUUUCUUUGAAUAGCUUGGCAUUCUCAUAUGCUUGGGUUCUCCAUUCAUCAAGUGAGCUAAUAUCAAACAACCUCUUCUCACCGGCAAGUUUGAAGUCAUAAUUGAGCUCUUUGAUAGCCCAAUAUGCCUUAUGUUCAAGUUCAAGAGGUAAAUGACACGCUUUUCCAUAAACCAUCUUAUAUGGAGACAUACCCAUAGAAUUUUUGUAUGCAGUUCUAUAGGCCCAUAAUGCAUCAUCAAGUUUUUUGGACCAAUUCUUUCUAGAUCUAUUCACAGUCUUUUGUAAAAUUAAUUUGAGCUCUCUAUUGCUCAACUCUACAUGACCACUAGACUGCGGAUGAUAAGGAGAUGCUAUUCUAUGAUUGACAUCAUACUUAGCAAGCAUCUUACGGAAAGCACCAUGAAUAAAAUGUGAACCACCAUCAGUCAUAAGAUAUCUAGGGACUCCAAACCCCGGAAAAAUAACUUCUUUAAGCAUUUUAAUAGAAGUGUUAUGAUCAACACUACUAGUUGGAAUAACUUCUACCCACUUAGUAAUGUAAUCAACAACAACUAAAAUAUGUGUAUAACCAUUAGAGGCAGGAAAAGGUCCCAUAUAAUCAAAGCCCCAAACAUCAAACAGUUCAAUAACAAGAGAAUAAUUCUUAGGCAUUUCUUGACGUCUACUAAUGUUACCUAUUCUUUGACAUUCAUCACAAGAUAAGACAAACUUACGAGCAUCUUUAAAGAGAGUAGGCCAAUAAAAACCAAAUUGUAGUACCUCGUGUGCAGUUCUAUCUCCAGCGUGGUGUCCCCCAUAAGAUUCAGAGUGACACUUGCGUAGAAUCUGUUCCUGUUCAUGCUCAGGCACCCAACGUCUAAUAACACCAUCUACUCCUUUAUAAAGGUGUGGAUCAUCCCAGAAGUAAUGUCUUAAAUCAUAGAAGAACUUUUUCUUUUGCUGGUAUGUGAAACUAGGCGGUAUAUAUUUAGCAACAAUGUAAUUAGCAUAAUCAGCAUACCAAGGAGCAGUACGAGAAGCAUUGACGACCGCUAAUUGUUCAUCAGGAAAGCUAUCAUUAAUAAGCAGUGGGUCAUCAAUAACAUUCUCUAACCUAGACAAGUUGUCUGCAACGGGGUUCUCAGCUCCCUUUCUAUCAAUAAUAUGCAAGUCAAAUUCUUGGAACAAGAGAACACAUCUAAUGAGUCUAGGCUUAGCAUCUUUAUUUUCCAUAAGAUAUUUAAUAGCAGCAUGAUCAGUGUGAAUAGUAACUUUGGAAUCAACAAUAUAAGGUCUAAACUUAUCACAUGCAAACACAACUGCUAAGAACUCUUUUUCAGUAGUAGCAUAAUUUCUCUGGGAAGUAUCAAGAGUCUUACUAGCAUACUGGAUAGCAUUCAAUUUCUUAUCGACUCUUUGCCUUAAAACAACACCUACAGCAUAAUCACUAGCAUCGCACAUAAUUUCAAAAGGUAAAUUCCAAUCAGGCAGCUGAACAAUAGGUGCAGUGAUCAAAGCUUUCUUAAGUACUUCAAAUUCUUCUACACAAUCAUCAUCAAAGAAAAGGAAUAUCUUUUUGCAAUAAAUUAGCCAGAGGCCUAGAGAUUUUAGAAAAGUCCUGAAUGAACCUCCUAUAAAAACCGGCGUGAGCAAGGAAACUUCUUAUACCUUUUAUGUCCUUGGGACAUGGCAUCUUUUCAAUAGCAUCAUUGGCCUUAUCAACUUCAAUACUUCUCUCAGAGAUCUUGUGCCCCAAGACAAUGCCUUCAUUAACCAUAAAGUGACACUUUUCCCAAUUCAAGACGAGACUAGUGUCUUCGCAUCUCUGCAAAACUCGAUCAAGAUUGCUCAAACAAUCAUCAAAAGAGGAUCCAUAGACUGAGAAGUCAUCCAUGAAUACCUCACAAAUCUUUUCACAAAAAUCAGAGAAUAUAGCCAUCAUGCCUCUUUGAAAGGUUGCAGGUGUAUUACAUAAACCAAAAGGCAUAUGUCUAUAAGCAAAAGUACCAAAAGGGCAAGUAAAAGUAGUUUUAGAUUGAUCCUUCGCUGAUACAGGUAUCUGAGAGAAACCAGAAUAACCAUCUAGAAAGCAGAAAUGUGCGUGUUUGGAUAGUCUUUCUAGAAUUUGAUCAAUAAAAGGUAAAGCAUAAUGAUCUUUCUUAGUAGCUUUAUUUAACUUACGGAAAUCAAUUACCAUCCUAUAACCUGUAAUAAUUCUUUGCGGGAUCAAUUCAUCUUUAUCAUUAGGAACAACGGUAAUACCUCCCUUUUUAGGAACACAAUGAACAGGGCUUACCCAUUCAGUAUUAGCAACGGGAUAAAUAAUACCUGCCUCAAGGAGUUUUAGUAUCUUCUUUCUUACCACUUCUUUCAUCUUGGGAUUUAAUCGUCUUUGAGGAUCUCUAACUGGUUUGGCAUCUUUCUCCACUGAAAUUUUGUGUUGACAUAAUGUGGGACUAAUGCCCUUAAGAUCAUCCAGAGUAUAUUCAAUAGUUGCUCGGUGCUUCUUCAGAGUUUUCAAUAAUCUUUCUUCUUCUUUCUCUGAAAUGUUAGCACUAAUAAUAACAUGAUAUAUUUCUUUUUCAUCAAGAUAAGCAUACUUAAGAUUAUCAAGUAAGGGUUUAAGUUCAAACACGGGAUCACCCUUGGGUGGAGGGGGAUCCCCAAGAAUUUCAACGGGAAGGUUAUGUUUCAGCAUAGGUUCCUGUUUAAGGAACACUUCAUCUAUUUCCUCCCUUUCCUUCAUAAACAUAUCGUUUUCAUGGUCUAGCAAAUAUUGUUCUAAAGGAUCGGUUGGAGGAACAACAAUGGAAGCAAGACCAAUAAUUUCAUCCUUACUAGGUGGUUCCCUUUCACGAGGUUGUCUACUAAACUUAGCGAAAUUAAACUCAUGAGACAUACCAUCAAUGCCAACAGUGACAAUAUUCUUUUCACAAUUGAUCUUAGCACUAGCAGUAUUCAAGAAGGGUCUACCAAAAAUAAUGAGAUAAAAAUCAUCUUGUGGGGAACCAAGAACAAGAAAACCAGCAGGGUAUUUAACCUUCCCACACAAAACUUCAACAUCUCUAACAAUCCCAAUAGGUUUAAUGGUAUCCCUAUUAGCAAGCUAAUAGUAACAUCAAUGUCUUCUAAUUCAACAGGUGCAAUGUCAUGCAUAAUUUCUUUAUAUAAAUCAUAAGGUAUCGCACUAGCACUAGCACCCAUAUCACAUAAGCCAUGAUAACAAUGGUCUCCUAUUUUAACAGAAAUAACAGGCAUGCCUACGACAGGUCUACGUGUCUUAGUAUCAGGUCUAGCAAUAUUGGCAGUCUCACCCAAGAAAGAAAUAACAUGCCCAUCUAAAUCCUCAUCCAAGAGAUCUUUAACCAUAGCAAUACUAGGUUCAACAUUAAUUUGCUCAGGAGGUGUAUAAGUCCUAGUAUUACUCUUAUGAACAACAGUCGAAGCAUUAGCAUGAUCUUUUAUCCUAACAGGAAAAGGAGGUUUUUCAACAUAAGCGGUAGGAACAAUAGGAUCACUAUAGGUAAUAGUCUUUUCUUCGACUGUAAUAGGUGCAACUACUUUCACUUCAACAGGAGGAUUAUAUUUAAACCACUUCUCUUUAGGGAGAUCAACGUGAGUAGCAAAAGAUUCACAGAAAGUAGCUACUAUCUCAGAGUCAAGUCCAUACUUAGCGCUAAAUCCACGGAAAGCAUCGGUAUCCAUAAAAGAUUUAACACAAUCGAACUUAGGUGUCAUACCUGACUCCUUACCAUCGUUGGAACCCCAAUCUUCAGAGUUGCGUUUAAUUCUUUCCAAUAAGUCCCAUUUGAAAUCAGUAGUCUUCAGCAUAUAAGAACUAGCACAAGAAGUAUCGAGCAGGUUGCGAUUAUCAAGAGAAAGCCGAGCAUAAAGGUUCUGAAUAAUCAUUUCCCGAGAGAGCUCAUGAUUGGGGCAUGAAUAUAACAUUGACUUAAGCCUCCCCCAAGCUUUAGCGAUGCUUUCUCCUUCGCGAGGCAAGAAAUUAUAUAUGUAAUUACGAUCACGAUGAACAAGAUGCAUAGGAUAGAACUUUUGGUGAAAUUCCAACUUCAAUCGCUUAUAAUGCCAAGAUCCCAUAUCAUCACAUAGCCUAUACCAUGUCAAUGCAUCUCCCUUCAAAGAUAAAGGGAAGACCUUCCUUUUGACAACAUCAUCGGGAAUACCUGCAGGCUUAAAUAAUCCACAAACUUCAUCCACAAAGAUAAGGUGUAAAUCGGGAUGCAAUGUUCCGUCUCCUGCAAAUGGAUUAGCUAGCAGUUUUCUAUCAUACCCGAAGGAAUCUCAAAGUAAAUAUUUUCGUAAAGUUCAGUAGGUUGAGAAGAAACUCUUUGCUCUUCUGGUUGGGGUGAAGAUACCCCAAACAAGCCCCUCAAAGGAUUAGUUUCCAUAGUGACAAGUAACAGAAAAUCUCAGCACACUAUAUAAAUGUUUCUUUACCAAGUUCCACUCACCAAAAGCGCUACACUCCCCGGCAACGGCGCCAGAAAAGAGUCUUGAUGACCCACAAGUGUAGGGGAUCUAUCGUAUUCCUUUCGAUAAGUAAGAGUGUCGAACCCAACGAGGAGCAGAAGGAAAUGAUAAGCGGUUUUCAGUAAGGUUUUCUCUGCAAGCACUGAAACUGUAGGUGAUAGAUAGUUUUGUGAUAAGAUAAAUAGUAACGAGUAACAAGUAAAUAAAGUAAAUAAAGUGCAGCAAUGUGGCCCAAUCCUUUAUGUAGCAAAGGAUAAGCCUGGACAAUUUCUAAUAGUGAUAAAGGAGCUCCUGAUGACACAUUGGAAAUUAUCGCCAAGCUAGUUUUCAUCACGUUCAUAUGAUUCACGUUCGGUACUUUGAUAAUUUGAUAUGUGGGUGGACCGGUACUUGGGUACUGCCCUAACUUGGACAAGCAUCCCACUUAUGAUUAACCCCUAUUGCAAGCAUCUGCAACUACAAAAGAAGUAUUAAGGUAAACAUAACCACAACAUUAAACAUAUGGAUCCAUAUAAACCCCUAACGAAGCAACACAUAAACUAGGGUUUAAGCUUCUGUCACUCUAGCAACCCAUCAUCUACUUAUUACAUCCCCAUGCCUUCCUCUAGGCCCAAAUAAUGUCGAACUGUCAUGCAGUCGACGUUCACAUAACACCACUAGAGGAAAAGACAACAUACAUCUCAUCAAAAUAUCGAACGAAUACCAAAUUCACAUGACUACUAAUAGCAAGACUUCACCCAUGUCCUCAGGAACAAAUGUAACUACUCACAAAGCAUAUUCAUGUUCAUAAUCAGAGGAGUAAUAAUAUGCAUAAAGGAUCUGAACAUAUGAUCUUCCACCAAGUAAACCAAUUAGCAUCAACUACAAGGAGUAAUCAACACUACUAGCAACCCACAGGUACCAAUUUGUGGUUUUGAUACAAGAUUGGAUAUAAGAGAUGAACUAGGGUUUUGGGAGGAGAUGGUGCUGGUGAAGAUGUUGAUGGAGAUUGACUCCCUCCCGAUGAGAGGAUCGUUGGUGAUGACGUUGGUGAUGAUUUCCCCCUCCCGGAGGGAAGUGUCCCCGGCAGAACAGCUCUACCAGAGCCCUAGAUUGAUUCCGCCAAGGUUCCGCCUCGUGGCGGUGGAGUUUUGUCCCGUAAGAUUGCCCAUGAUUUUUUUCAGGGUAAAAUUGAUGAUAUAGCAGAAGAUAGACGCCGGAGGCCCAACAGGGGUCCCAGGAGACAGGGGGUGCGCCCUAUAGGGGGGGCGCCCCCCUGUCUCCUGGACAGGGUGUGGCCCCCUGGCAUAUUUCUUUCGCUCAGAAAUUCUUAUUAAUUCCAAAAGGUUGUUUCGUGGAGUUUCAGGGCUUUUGGAGCUGUGCAGAAUAGGUUUCCAAUGUUUGCUCCUUUUCCAGCCAGAAUUCCAAUUGUCGGCAUUCCCCCUCUUCAUGGUAAACCUUGUAAAAUAAGAGAGAAUAGCCAUAAGUAUUGAGAUAUAAUAUGUAAUAAUAGCCCAUAAUGUAAUAAAUAUUGAUAUAAAAGCAUGAUGCAAAAUGGACAUAUCAGUUACCCGUGACCACGUCCGAAGCUGCAUUCACUUGUGUCGCAUCCAUGUGUUUCAGGUGGUAUGGUACACGUGCUAGACCACUAGGACCACGUCCGCGGCUAGCCACAGGCGCAUUCGCACGUACUUGUGCUGAAUUAGCCUGACGCUUGUUUUGAGGUGGGACAGUUCCACUCGUGCUAGGUUGUGGUUGACUCUUACUCGGGCAUUUGUUUUGUAGUGACCCUUUUGUCCACAACCAAAACAGACAACACUCGCCUUUGGGCAAUCUCGAGCGGUGUGUGGUCCAACGGACACAUGACACUUGAUAGGGGCUUUAGGAGGCAUAAAGGGUGGUCUAGGGGCUUGAGGGAGAGGAGGACAGAUGGGUCCGACCAUUGGUGGGCGGACUAGGCCAACAGAGUUGUAUCCACUCCUCAUGAGGAACCUCUGGUCCAUUCUAGAUUUCUUUCUCCGUUCUUCCUCUAUGGCUAAUUGCCGAUUCUCAAUAAUAAUGACUCAAUCUACUAGCUCCCGAAACUUAGUUAUAUUUAUAGGGGCUAUGAUCAGCUGUAUGGAUGGCUUCAAUCCUUCUAUGAACCGGUACACCCUUUUGGUCUCAGUGUUUGUGUCUUCUGAUGCAUAGCGGGAUAGUGAGUUAAACUCACCUAGGUACUCUGCGAUGGUUUUAGACCCUUGUUUAAGGCUUAGGAAUUCCUUACUUUUUAGUUCCAUCGCACUUUGCGGGACAUAGUUAUCUCGGAAUCUCCUCUUAAAUUCCUCCCAAGUAACUAUGUGGUUUUCGGGUAUGAUAAUUUGGACAUUUCUCCACCAUGUGGCAGCAGGACCAAUUAACCGAUGGGAUGCAUACCGAACUUUUUCUUGAUCCGUGCAUCCCACAGUGUUAAGUUUCAGCUCUAUGUCCAUCAACCAAUCCUCAGCGGCUAAUGGAUUGUGGCGGUUGAAAAGGUUGGUGGUCUAGUCUUUUGGAAGUCUCCAAUCGUGACACCUUGUUCUGGGUUUUUAGUCAGUUGGCCUCUCGUCAUACUGAACAUCUGCUCCAUGAACUUAUUCUGGUGUUCUAGAGAGUCUCGAUGAGACUGAUCCAUCCACUGAUACAUUAGAGCAAGUUGAUCGGAUCCAGGGGCAUGAUGGGGUAAUGGUGGAGGUGGAGGUAACGUCACUCUAGACAGCAAAUCUGCCAUGUUCCUUAGCCACUCGGGUGCUAAAUCUGAUGGGUUCCCAUUGUCUUCGAAUGACUGACUACCAGAUGCCAUCGCUACCGAUCUGGUGGGCAAGGCAUAGGUUAUAACGAUAGCUACUACAUGUGAAAAUAUUUUAUUUAUUUGAUUAGAGGUGAGAUUUUAGCCCACACAGUACACUUCACGCUUCCUUUUUUGGAGCAUCUAUUUAAACAGUGCACUUAACAGCGACAUACUAGAAAAUUUUGCGAAACAUUUUUUUUACUUGUUGUUGGCCGAAGAAUAAAAGCAGUCAAACAAAGUGAUUCUUUUUAUCAUGACAGAGGCAAGAGAUUAAUCACAAUUCAAAAAUAGAGCCACUUGCACAUGCACAUGCACACACAAGUUCUUCACGUACCGGAUUAAAAGCAUUCAAUCAUCAAGUGCGUGACAUACAUCAAUUGAACUCAUGAAGUGCUAGGAAAAAUGUAGCAGCAUCAGCACAUAAUAUAUAUACUAGCCCAACACAUGAUGUACCAAGGCAUGGACUUGAAUGAAGAGAUCACCCGAAAAAAUCUACCAUACAUCAGACGCCAUUAUGAAGCAUUGGCAACAACGUGGCAACAACAUCACAUACAGUAUUCCAUCAUACAGAGCAAGGAGCAUAAAAAGAACCAGAAUUUAAAAUGACAUGGCAUAUGCGUCACACGAGAUCACCUAGUAGUAGAAUAUCAGUACAUCCAUAAGUCCACCGGUCCACAUGAAUACAUCACAUAACAUAAUCGCAACACCACACAUGACUAUUUGUCGUACCAUCAGGUUACCAUGACUAUCUAUAUAUGUACCUAGAAAAAAGUAUAUAUGUCUCCCUAUCUGCCUGUCGGGACCAAUCUGGGUAAAUAUGGCUGUGUAAACUCUAGAAGGGUAGCUAUGUCUACAAGACCUUUCUAAUUAUGUACAAAAUCCAAAAGGACAGCCUCCAUGCAUCUGCCUAAACAUCUAAUAAGUGGUGGAACUAACUCUGCGAGGAGUAACUAUCUAGCAUGAUGCCACAACCUUGCUAGAAAACUAACUACUACUACUAAUAGUACGAAGUCAAUCCUCCCUGAUGAGAAGACUAGGUGAAAUGGUGAGGAGCAAGUCGGGGUUGAGGACAGAAGUCGGUGAAGGUAUAGACUGACUGGGUGCGGUGCCUCUGAAGAGUGCCUACUUGGUCUAACAGGUCCUGAACAAGCUGAGGUGUAGGUGGACACCCGUAUGGUGUAGAGGGAUGAGACACUGCUCGAGCGGGGGAACCCCUAAAAACUCUAGGAGUUGGGCAGUCUGCACGAGUGGGUGGAACUGCUGGGUACAAAUGAGGAAGAGCGGCAGUCAGAGUUAGUGGUGGUAAAAACGUGAGAGGUAAAACAGGAGGACGUGGUGGAAGUGGAAGGAAAGCAAAAGUGGACGCAAAAAGGUGAAGGAGCGACAGUGGGUGGAGGUGCUGACGAAUUCCCUGAUUACUCUUAUUGAUGAGCCAAUUGCCUCUACCACGCAAACAAGGAGAAGGUGGCAGGCAUGGAAAAUAUGUAAAGUGGCAUUCCAUGCCGCACCCUAAAGUGCUGAAGCAAAGUUGUAUUGUGCGACACUAUGCCUAGAUGGGACAUCUAAGCCCUCGGGUAUGUGCACUGUGACUAAGUACCCCGUGGAAUGAUACAUCUCUAAUGUAUCUAUAAUUUUUGAUUGUUCCAUGCUAUUACAUUACCCCUUUUAGAUGUUUAUGGGCUUUAUUUUACACAUUUAUAUCAUUUUUUGGGACUAACCUACUAACCGAAGGCCCAGCCCAUAUUGUUGUUUUUUUGCCUAUUUCAGUAUUUUGAAGAAAAGGAAUAUCAAACGGAGUCCAAACGGAAUGAAACCUUCGGCAACAUGAUUUUUUGGAAGAAUAUGAUCCUGGAGACAUCGAGUCCAUGUCAGAAGAUCCUCGAGGGGGCCACGAGAUAGGAGGUCGCGCCCCCCUUACAGGGUGGUGGCCUCCUGUCUCGUGGGCCCCUCGAGCACCUCCCGACCGACUUCUUUCGCCUAUAUAAGCCUACGCACCCUAAAACCAUCAAAAAUCAAGAUAGAUUGGGAGUUCCGCCGCCGCAAGCCUCUGUAGCCACCAAAAACCUCUCGGGAGCCUGUGCCGGCACCCUGCCGGAGGGGGAAUCCAUCACCGGUGGCCAUCUUCAACAUCCCAGCGCUCUCCAUGACAAGGAGGGAGUAGUUCACCCUCGGGGCUGAGGGUAUGUACCAGUAGCUAUGUGUUUGAUCUCUCUCUCUCGUGUUCCCUCUAUGACACGAUCUUGAUGUAUCCCGAGCUUUGCUAUUGUAGUUGGAUCUUAUGAUGUUUCUCCCCCUCUACUCUGUUGUGAUGAAUUGAGUUUUCCUCUUGAAGUUAUCUUAUCGGAUUGAGUCAUUUAUUUGAGAACACUUGAUGUAUGUAUUGCCCUGUUUAUCUGUGAUGGAAAUGAGAUAUCACGUGCCUCUUGAUGUAUGUUUUGGUGACCAACUUGCGGGUUCCGCCCAUGAACCUAUGCAUAGGGGUUGGCACACGUUCUUGACUCUCCGGUAGAAACUUUGGGGCACUCUUUGAAGUACUUUGUGUUGGUUGAAUUGAUGAAUCUGAGAUUGUGUGAUGCAUAUCGUAUAAUCAUGCCCACGGAUACUUGAGGUGACAAUGGAGUAUCUAGGUGACACUAGGGUUUUGGUUGAUUUGUGUCUUAAGGUGUUAUUCUAGUACGAACUCUUGAAUAGAUUGAUCUGAAAGAAUAACUUUGAGGUGGUUUCGUACCCUACCAUAAUCUCUUCGUUUGUUCUGCGCUAUUAGUGGCUUUGGAGUGACUCUUUGUUGCAUGUUGAGGGAUUUCUAUAUGAUCUAUCUAUGUUAUUAUUGUUGAGAGAACUUGCACUAGUGAAAGUAUGAACCCUAGGCCUUGUUUUCUAUCAUUGCAAUACCGUUUACACUCACUUUUAUCAUUAGUUACCUUGCUGUUUUUAUAUUUUCAGAUUAGAAAUACCUAUAUCUACCAUCCAUAUUGCACUUGUAUCACCAUCUCGUCGCCGAACUAGUGCACCUAUACAAUAUACCAUUGUAUUGGGUGUGUUGGGGACACAAGAGACUCUUUAUUAUUUGGUUGCAGAGUUAUUUGAAAGAGACCAUAUUCAUCCUACGCCUCCUACGGAUUGAUAAACCUUAGGUCAUCCACUUGAGGGAAAUUUUCUACUGUCCUACAAACCUGUGCACUUGCAGGCCCAACAAUGUCUACAAGAAGAAGGUUGUGUAGUAGACAUCAAGCUCUUUUCUGGCGCCAUUGCCAGGGAGGUUAGCGCUUGAAGGUAUAUCUUUAGAUCUUGCAAUCGAAUCUUUUUGUUUCUUAUUUUAUCACUAGUUUAGUUUAUAAAAAAAACUAUAAAAAAUGGAGUUAAGUUUGUCUCAUAUUAUCUUUUUAAUAUCUUUCGUGAGCAUGAUGGAAAGGAAAAUUGUGCUCAAGUGCUAGAAGAAGAAUGCAUUAAAAUACUUGGUAGUAAAUCUUUGAAUGAUGAGCAUGAUUGCAAUGUUGUUAGUAUGAAUUCCUUGAAUAUCCGUGAUGCUAAUGAUAUGCAAAGCCACAAGCUUGGGGAAGAUAUGUUUGAUGAAUAUGAUAUAUUUUGUCCCCCAAGCUUUGAUGAGCAAAUUUAUUUUGAUGAUAGCAUGCCUCCUAUUUAUGAUGAUUAUAUUGAUGAAAGUGGGUUUGGAAGAGUGUCAACUUUAGGAAGUAGUGAUCCCACUAUUUUGGAGGAUGUUGAAUCUUAUUAUGAUGAACAUGAAAGUGGAUUUGGAAGAGUGUAAACUUUAUUUAGUGAUGAAUCCACUAUUUCGGAAGAGGUUCCAAUUGAUUAUGAGAACAAAGUUGCUAUCUAUGAUGAUUAUUGUGAUGACCAUGAAACUUGUCAUCAUGAUUUUAGUUUUGAAUUGGAUUAUGCCUCACAUGAUAAUUAUUUUGUUGAGUUUGCUCCCACUAUUAUUCGUGAGAAGAAAUUUGCUUAUGUGGAGGGUAGUAAAUUUUAUAUGCUUGUAGAUCAUGAAAAGAAUGCUUUAGAUGCUGGUUAUAUUGUUGAAUUCAUUCAUGAUGCUACUGAAAAUUAUUAUGAGGGAGGAACAUAUGCUUGUAGGAAUUGCAAUAACGUCAAGUUUCCUCUCUAUGUGCUUACAUUUUUGAAGCUAUGCUUGUUUUACCUUCCUAUGGUAGUUGAUUAUUGUUCCCAUAAGUUGUUUGCUCACAAAAUCCCUAUGCAUAGGAAGUGGGUUAGGCUUAAAUGUGCUAGUCAUAUGCUUCAUGAUGCUUCCGUUAUGUUUCAAUUCUUAUCUUUUUGUGAGCAUCAUUGUCAUCAUCAUGCCUAGCUAGAAAAGCAUUAAAGAAAAGCGCUUGUUGGGAGACAACCCAAUAUUUAUCCUUACUGUUUUUGUGUGUCCACAUGAUUAUGCUACUGUAGUAAUCAUGUUUUACAGCUUUUGUUUCAAUAAAGUGUCAAGUAAGACCUUUAGGGUAGCUUAUGGUGAUAGUUGUGUUGAUCCUGCUGAAAAUCAGAAACUUUUUCACCCAGUAAUUUAAUUUUUUUAAUUCACAGAAACGUUCUUCUGGUCUGAUUCUUUUUUCUCUGGAUUGGUACACAAAUUUCUUAGAACUUCCUAAUGUUGUAGGAUUUUUGGAGUUCCAGAAGUAUACGUUUGAUACAGAUUACUACAGACUGUUCUAUUUUUGACAGAUUCUAUUUUCUAUGUGUUGUUUGCUUAUUUUGAUGAAUCUAUGAGUAGUAUCAUAGGAUAUGAACCAUAGAUAAGUUGUAGUACAGUAGAUAUUACACCAAUAUGAAUUUAGAAUGAGUUCAUUACAGUACCUAAGCGGUGGUUUUAGUUUCUUAUACUAAAGGAGCUUACGAGUUUUCUGUUGAGUUUUGUGUUGUGGAGUUUUCAAGUUUUGGGUAAAGAUUCGAUGGACUAUGGAAUAAGGAGUGGCAAGAGCCUAAGCUUGGGGAUGCCCAAGGCACCCCAAGUUAAUAUUCGAGAAUAGCCAAAAGUCUAAGCUUGGGGAUUCCCCAGAAGGCAUCCCCUCUUUCGUCUUCGUUCAUCGGUAACUUUACUUGGAGCUAUAUUUUAUAUUCACCACAUGAUAUGUGUUUUGCUUGGAGCGUAAUUUUCUUUUCUUAGUAUUUUCUUGCUGUUAUUUAGAAUAAUGUUUUGCAUCUUUAGUUUCAAUAAAAAAGUCAAGGAUAGCCUUUGCCAUGCUUAUUUUGCUAGUAUACAUGUUGUUGUUUGAAAACAGAAAGUUUACCGCUGUUGCAAAAAUUCCCUAGAAAAUUCAGAGAAUGGUAUAAUGUUGAAACCUUUUUCAUGAUGAGAUCUGAUAAAUUUACUACAGUGGGAAUUUUAUUUCAUAAUUUUUGGAGUUAGGGAAGUAUGGAUACUCUUGCAUUUUUUAUAGACUGUACUGUUUUGGCAGAUUGCUGUUAUGUUUGCAUUGUUUGCAUAUGUUUGCUUGUUUAAUAAUUCUAUUUGAGGAUAGGAAUAUUAAAUAUGCAGAGGCAUUUAGUAUGAAAUGUUGAACAAUAAUUUUAUUGAUUUGUUACAGUAGAAUAUGAUAAGGUUUUGCAUUGGUUUAUACUAACCUAUCUCACGAGUUUUUGUUGAGUUUGUUGUGAAUGAAGCUUUUGAGAAAUAGAGAAUUCAUGAUAUGAGAGAAAUUAAGGAGACACAAAAGUUCAAUAUUAGGGAUGCCCAAGGCACUCCAACAUAAUAUUCAAGAAGUCUCAAGCAUCUAAGCUUGGGGAUGCCCCGGUAGGCAUCCCACCUUUCUUCUUCAACAACUAUCAAUUAGUAUCGGUUGAGCCUAAGUUUUUGCUUCUUCACAUGAGUUGUGCUAUCCUUACAAUGUCAUUUUAUUUUAUUUUGUUUGCUAUUUGAAUAAGAUAUCAAGAUCUAAAAUUUCUUAAUGUUAGAAAGUCUUCACAUAGUUGCACAAUUAUUCGACUACUCAUUGAUCUUCACUUAUAUCUUUCGGAGUAGUUUGUCAUUUGCUCUAGUGCAUCACUUGUAUCAUUUAGAGCACGAAGGUGGUUAUAUUUUGUAGAAAUUGUUAGUCUCUCAUGCUUCACUUAUAUCUUUUUGAAAGUAUUUUAGAGCAGCAUGGUAUUUGCUAUGGUUACAAAGUUGGUCCUAGAAUGAUGAGCAUCCAAGUUGGGUAUAAUAAAAACUAUCAUAGAAAGUGAAUUGGAUGCUAUGAUCAACUUGAUGCUUGAUAAUUGUUUUGAGAUGUGGAGGAAGUGAUAUUAAAGGCAUGCUAGUUGGGUGAUUAUGAAUUUAAAGAAUGCUUGUGUUGAAGUUUGUGAUUCCCGUAGCAUGCACGUAUGAUGAACCACUUUGUGAUGAAGUUGGAGCACAAUUUUAUUUAUUGAUUGUCUUCCUUAUGAGUGGCUGUCGGGGACGAGCGAUGGCCUUUUCUUACCAAUCUAUCCCCCUAGGAGCAUGCGCGAAGUGCUUUGGUUUUUGAUGACUUCUAAAUUUUUGCAACAAGUAUAUGAGUUCUUUUGAUUAAUGUUGAGUCCAUGGAUUAUACGCACUCCUUCACCCUUCCACCAUUGCUAGCCUCUCUUGUACCGUGCAACUUUUGCUGGUACCAUACACCCAUCAUAGUCCUUCCUCAAAACAGCUACCAUACCUACCUAUUAUGGCAUUUCCAUAGUCAUUUCGAGAUAUAUUGCCAUGCAACUUUCCACCGUUCCGUCCAUAUGACACGCAUUACUUUUGUCAUAUUGCUUUUUGCAUGAUCAUGUAGUUGAUAUUGUAUUUGUGGCAAGGCCACCUUCAUAAUUUUCAUACAUGUCGCUCUUGAUUCAUUGCAUAUCCCGGUACACCGCCGGAGGCAUUCAUAUAGAGUCAUAUCUUGUUCUAUCUUUGAGUUGUAAAUCCAUAAAAGUGUGAUGAUCUUCAUUAUUAGAGCAUUGUCCUAGUGAGGAAAGGAUGAUGAAGACUAUGAUUCCCCCACAAGUCGGGAUGAGACUUCGGACUUUACAAAAAGAAAAAAAAAGAAAAAAAAGAGAAAGGCCAAAAAGAAAAAAAGAAAAAAAAGAGAAGGCCAAAGAAAAGAAAAAAAAGAAGAAAAAAAGAGAGAAAGGACAAUGCUACUAUCUCUUUUUCUACACUUGUGCUUCAAAAUAGCACCAUGAUCUUCAUGUUAGAGAGUCUCAUAUGUUGUCACUUUCAUAUACUAGUGGGAAUUUUUCAUUAUAGAACUUGGUUUGUAUAUUUCAAUGAUGGGCUUCCUCAAAAGUGCCCUAGGUCUUCGUGAGCAAGCUAGUUGGAUGCACCCCACUUAGUUUCUUUUGUUGAACUUUCAUACAUUUAUAGCUCUAGUGCAUCUGUUGCAUGGCAAUCCCUACUCACUCACAUUGAUAUCUAUUAAUGGGCAUCUCCAUAGCCCAUUGAUACGCCUAGUUGAUGUGAUACAAUCUUCUCCCUUUUUUGUCUUCUCCAUAAUCACCAUUCUAUUCCACAUAUAGUGCUAUGUCCAUGGCUCACGCUCAUGUAUUGCGUGAAAGUUGAAAAAGUUUGAGAUUAUUAAAGUGUGAAACAAUUCCUUGGCUUGUCAUCGGGGUUGUGCAUGAUUAAAUACUUUGUGUGAUGAAGAUAGAGCAACAGCCAGACUAUAUGAUUUUGUAGGGAUAACUUUCUUUAGCCAUGUUAUUUUCAGAAGACAUGAUUACUUUGAUUAGUAUGCUUGAAGUAUUACUAUCUCUUAUGUCAAUAUGAACUUUUAUUUUGUAUCUUUUGGAUCUGAACAUUCAUGCCACAAUAAAAAAAUUACAUUGAGAAUUAUGCUAGGUAGCAUUCCACAUCAAAAAAAUCUGUUUUUAUCAUUUACCUACUCGAGGACGAGUAGGAAUUAAGCUUGGGGAUGCUUGAUACGUCUCUAACGUAUCUAUAAAUUUUGAUUGUUCCAUGCUAUUAUAUUAUCCCUUUUGGAUGUUUAUGGGCUUUAUUUUACACAUUUAUAUCAUUUUUGGAACUAACCUACUAACCGGAGGCCCAGCCCAUAUUGUUGGGUUUUUUUGCCUAUUUCAGUAUUUCGAAGAAAAGGAAUAUCAAACGGAGUCCAAACGGAAUGAAACCUUCGGCAGCGUGAUUUUUUGGAAGAAUAUGAUCCUGGAGACUUGGAGUACACGUCAGAAGAUCCUCGAGGAGGCCACGAGAUAGGAAGCUGCGCCCCCCUUACAGGGUGGUGGCCCCCUGUCUCGUGGGCCCCUCGAGCACCUCCCGACCGACUUCUUUCGCCUAUAUAAGCCUACGUAUCCUAAAACCAUCAAAAAUCAAGAUAGAUCGGGAGUCCCGCUGCCUCAAGCCUCUAUAGCCAGCAAAAACCUCUCGGGAGCCCGUUCCGGCACCCUGCCGGAGGGGGAAUCCAUCACCAGUGGCCAUCUUCAUCAUCCCGGCGCUCUCCAUGAUGAAGAGGGAGUAGUUCACCCUCGGGGCUGAGGGUAUGUACCAGUAGCCAUGUGUUUGAUCUCUCUCUCUCGUGUUCUCUCUCAUGUUCCCUCUAUGGCACGAUCUUGAUGUAUCCCGAGCUUUGCUAUUGUAGUUGGAUCUUAUGAUGUUUCUCCCCCUCUACUCUCUUGUGAUGAAUUGAGUUUCCCUCUUGAAGUUAUCUUAUCGGAUUGAGUCUUUUAUUUGAGAACACUUGAUGUAUGUAUUGCCCUGUUUAUCUGUGGUGACAAUGGGAUAUCACGUGCCUCUUGAUGUAUGUUUUGGUGACCAACUUGCGGUUCCGCCCAUGAACCUAUGCAUAGGGGUUGGCACACGUUCUUGACUCUCCGGUAGAAACUUUGGGGCACUCUUUGAAGUACUUUGUGUUGGUUGAAUUGAUGAAUCUGAGAUUGUGUGAUGCAUAUCGUAUAAUCAUGCCCACGGAUACUUGAGGUGACAAUGGAGUAUCUAGGUGACAUUAGGGUUUUGGUUGAUUUGUGUCUUAAGGUUUUAUUCUAGUACGAACUCUUGAAUAGAUUGAUCCGAAAGAAUAACUUUGAGGUGGUUUCAUACCCUACCAUAGUCUCUUCGUUUGUUCUCCGUUAUUAGUGGAUUUGGAGUGACUCUUUGUUGCAUGUUGAGGGAUUGUUAUAUGAUCUAUCUAUGUUAUUAUUGUUGAGAGAACUUGCACUAGUGAAAGUAUGAAUCCUAGGCCUUGUUUCCUAUCAUUGCAAUACCGUUUACGCUCACUUUUAUCAUUAGUUACCUUGCUGUUUUUAUAUUUUCAUAUUAUAAAUACCUAUAUCUACCAUCCAUACUGCACUUGUAUCACCAUCUCUUCGCCGAACUAGUGCACCUAUACAAUCUACCAUUGUAUUGGGUGUGUUUGAGACACAAAAGACUCUUUGUUAUUUGGUUGCAGGGUUGUUUGAGAUAGACCUUCUUCAUCCUACGCCUCCUACGGAUCGAUAAAUCUUAGGUCAUCCACUUGAGGGAAAUUUUCUACUGUCCUACAAACCUGUGCACUUGCAGGCCCAAUAACGUCUACAAAAAAAAAAGUUGUGCAGUAGACAUCAUAGAACACGGGUCAUGAAACACUUUGUAGUACGGUGCAAGCAACACAACAAGAAUACGAAGAAGCACAAUCAAGAAUAGAGCAAAACCACAGUACUCGGCACCCGUACGACACAAUCUACCACUCAACAUCCUACAUUAAGAAAUUAAGAAUUUAGUACUAAUCUAGGACAAAAUAAGUACGUAUAUUCUGAACACAUUUUACUUGCAUAAUUCUAAGUAUGAGGUUUAAUUUAUUUAAUCUACUCUUGACUUGAGUCACUUUUUUUCAAAGAGUAUAUAUAGGAGACGUAGAACUUGAGAUGACAAAAGAUGGAUUUUUUUGAGAAACUUCUAUUUUCUUUAGGUAAGGAGGGAACCUGUCUUUCCUAAGGCUUAACAGACUCUAACUAAGUACAUGACUCUUUCCUUAACGAUGCUCUGAUACCACCUCUUCUGUGACGCCAUGUUACGUCCAACAGAGUCAGGCGUAACGGAAGCCGUCACUUCAGAGUUGCGCCAGGAUCAGUUAAGGAAAACAGUAUCAUGUACAAGACGGAGCAACUGCCAUGAGUAGGCAAGCUUUUAUUACAUAGACACCUCAAGUGUCGACUAAGCCUAAGCGACCAUGACAAUAGAUCGUCACCCGCUUCUAGUGCGAGCCUUCUAGACCAACCAUGGAGAACAUCUACUCUUCAUAGACUUGAUUGCCAACAUCCUCAUGAUCAUACUUCACUUCAGAAUAACCAUAGUCGUCAAGAUGACCAGACUCAUCAUAAGUACCAUUCUCUAGUGCCUUAGAGUUCUCAUAACUCCCUUGUUCUGAAAAACAACAUAAGUGCAGCUGAGUACGUAUAAAAUACGUACUUCGCAAGUCGCCGGGAAAAGUGGAUGCAUGAGUAUUCUUAAGAGGAAAAACUUUAUCGGCCACGGCUACCACCAUAGAGCCAUUAGCUCAAAAUACUUUGUAGGUAAAAAAAAUUAUUUUCCCUUAACCCAUUUUGUUGAAAAUCAAAUUUUAUUUAUAAAAUCUACUGGCGACAGAGCGAUGUGGGAUCUUACAUCCUGUGUUAGAGGAAAACCCACACGACGCACUUCCAAACCCGGAAGCUGGGAGUGAUAUCACAUUUAUUCUGAUCAGAGGUGUACUGCUUUGCCCAUAGCAUCACUUGGUCCAAGUCGUCCAUGCGCUACCCGUGCGCACGACUAGACCAAGGCACCAGAACCUUUAACCAGCUCGUAGACUACCUCUGCUUUUCCACCUUGCCUUACUAUAGGCCCGCGGGCCGAGACCCCUGACCGGCGGUCCCGCCCUAGGGUGACUGUACCUACCCGGCUACAGCCACCUUCUCACCCAUGCAGAGGCAAUUACUUGGCAUCGGUAGUCGGUUCAGCCCGUCCCAUUCCAGGCCUAUGGUCAGUACGGUUUGCGCCGCUUUUGACGUAAGCGCCAGUUGGUUGUGUCCUAAUGUGAUACCCUAUGUAGAGGAGUCUGCCAUCCAAGCCAACCCUACAUGGGUCGUCUUCACCAACAUGAGCUCCCAUACCCACCAAAUUUUUAGUUAUAAUGUAACCCUGCCCGGGUCACGACUACUUAAUACAGAUACUUCACCUGAUCUGGUCCAAUUGCCAAAUCAGUGGAUCCACCUGAUCCAAAUAUCAUUUUAUUUAUGAAAAGUAUUUAUUUUUAAUUCUUAUGCAAAAUUUUGGAAAUGACUCAUAGCCCGGAAAACAUUUAUGAAGACAUGAUCAAGGAGAUGACGACUUGCCGGGUAGCGCCCCGACCAACUCGAAACCACCAGAUGGGGGUUCUAUGGGUCUGAGAUCGACUCCUGAUAAUUAUUUCACAAAGAAGUUUAUAUUUUCCCUAAUCAAGAUCCAAGCAUCAAGAAACAAUUCCAUACGGUGCAAUCCAUUUUAAUUAAAGAGGCAAUGAUACAUGCUAGUGUGUAAUUAGAAGCAAAAUGCAUACAACACAUCAAGAAGUAGUACGCACAUGCACAUCACAAAGAGCAAGCAAGCAAGCUCAAAAGGAAAAAUGUGUUUAGCUGGUCGAACCCAACCCCGGCAGAAAUAUCAUUUCUUUUUUCUCCAACUAGUCAUCUUACCCAGCUCUCUUCCUCUCUCUCACUGUCACUGGUAUGCUCAGCCACGAACAUAACCAACUCCAUCUCUCUCUCCCUAACUACAGAGCAGGCCGCCGCCGGCUCGAUCUGCCACUUCCGGCCAUCUCCGGCGACACCGCGGACACCCACAGAAUCCCCUCAACUCCCUCUACCAUAUACCCCCAUUUAUUUGAUCCGCCGCCGCCAAAAUCGCCGCCACCCUCAAACCCCAGCGCCGUCUGCAUCGGGUCCGAUGGGUUCACCACGGGCCGCAGCAGCAAUGGCAUCUCCCUACCUACAAACUCCUCCUGCAGAGCUGCACGCACGAGGCGUGCAACUAUGGCCGUCAGGCGUGACCAUCUUAACCGGUGCGGCUCCGGCAACAUGGCCGCUACAGACGCCCGGCUCGCCUUUGUCUACUGCUACUAGGGUAAGUGCCAGUCCAAAUUUCUCUCUGUGCAGUGUUCUUACCUCUGCUGCAAGUGUUUGUGCUAUGACUCCCCUUACUGCCAUGCUUCUUGUUAAUCUCAAGACCAAGGAAUUAAUCAAGCUUUACUCUAUGGUGUGGACGUGGUCUCCAGAUUUAUUCUAUAUUGUUUAUUCAAUUUUUAGCUCUACUACACUAUCCUCGCACUACUAUGAUUCUUUUUUAAUUAAGCUCAUAACUAGGAAUUAACCAGUGAAUUCCUACUGUCACCGACUUGAUUAAAAAGCGACAAGUUAAUUUCUUGUGAUGGUUAGGUGCUGCCACAAACUAAAUCUAAAUGUUGCUUCUACUGUGUGUGCGCGUGCACUCAUUUCUGCACCCUACAACAGUCAAGUGAACAUCGACAUUGAUCACUCAAAACAUUCUUAGAAAGGGGAUCAUGAAAGGGAAAAUAAGAGGAUGUCAGGAAUUUAUUUGUACAAGAUUUGCACAAAGUAUGUUUUUUUUUUUUUUUUUCAGAAUGAUGCAUGUGCAAAUGAGACAAGGCAAACAUUAGCCAAACAGUGUUCAAUACAACUAGGAAGGGAUCAUUAAGAUGAGUAGCAUACACAGGAAGCUUGAGCUAUUAGCUGUACAUGUAAAUCUUAGCAAGUUAAUAUUUGGGAUUUAAUUCUCAGCAUGACAUGUCUAUUAUAUACAUAGAUCUAGUACAAGACAGAGAUGGACAUGCACAGUACACAUGCAUCACUUAACCACCAUGUACUAAUUUGUCUUCAUCUAAUAUAUGUGCUUUCUUUUUCUAACCAUCAUUCUUCUUUUUACAGAGUAACUAGAGUCCAAAAGAGCAGGUGUUCAUGUUCUAAGCAAAGGUGAAGAUGGAUCAAGCAAACAAAGCUGCAAAAGCAAGGCACUUGAAUAGUACCUGAUGGCAACUCAGCAUCCGACCAAAAGAGUGGAUGGGGAUGGUGGGGAGAGCUUGGUUCUCUCUUGUGCGUGUUGUGUGCAGUAGAGGAAGUCAAAGGUGAAAGGAGGUGGCUGCUAUUUAUAGUAGUGUAGGGUGCUAGGUCGGUUUGGUAAAAGAGAGAUGUGGCUGACAUGCCUGGUUGCAUGAGCAUGCAAGCCUCCACAUGUAAUCAUGUGAGUUGUACAACGGACAAGUGUAUAGUGCAUGGUUGGACACGAGUUGGCAUAUACUUUGUGUGUAAGGAAUGAGACAAGGGCCUAAUUGUAAAUCUGCAAACUAUAAGGGAGUUGGAGAAGAACUAAUGUACAUGGCUAAAUACUAACUUUUUUGUUGCAAUAAAUUUUUGAUAUUAGUGUUGUGGUUAAUUAUAAUUAUUCAACUAACUAUGCCUUCU